UUGAGCUAUUUUUAGAACAGGCCAGCGGGCUACUCAUCUGGUCCUUACGGGCUACCUGGUGCCCGCGGGCACCACGUUGGUGACCCCAGCGGUAUAUACUAUAUAGUCUAUAGCCUGUAUAGGCUAUUUUCGAAAACCGGUUUCGUUUAAAUUUGCACUUAACAGUUGGGUUUUUAAAAACCAAUAAACCCUAUAAUUUUCAUGUUGCCAUUUAAUCAACUACAGAACAUUUUAACUCGUAUCUUAACCUAGCCUCACUGGAAAGACUAUUUACAUAAUCAUACGCCAUUUAGAACAGUUUAAAAUGCCGUUAAACCUCGUUAAAUGCUUUUUCUGUCAAUGCUGUGUUCGCUGUGAGCUGGUUUGUUUUCAACGAAUUCAAUAUGGCGACCGGUUGCUAGGGAAUUGGUAGGCGGAAGUGACGUAGGUCCGCCCUCACUACCACUUGCGGGGGGGUCGGGGGGCUCUUGUUACAAAGCGGUAGCCCUUCUGGCGCUGAUCCAGUUAUCCAGCCCACCUAAGUAGUUAAGCAAUGGCAAAGACGUGGAGUGGGAUUGGAGGAGACUUGCCCUACACCUUUACAGCACAACCAGACCAACCGGAAUUUGUAAGGAAGUUGACCCAACUACCGUCUGGACAAUAACAUUAAGAUGUGUCACACCCAAUGCCUGAUUGAGUGAGGACAAGAGGACAGUCACCUACACAGGUGAAAACCUCCGUUACCUGGAAAAGG
Entelurus aequoreus (snake pipefish) is the source of this 733-nucleotide long non-coding RNA. RefSeq lists it as uncharacterized. The record is from RefSeq and is a predicted model, not a curated record. The transcript has 3 exons. Lineage: Eukaryota; Metazoa; Chordata; Actinopteri; Syngnathiformes; Syngnathidae.